AUAUGUGUAGCAAUGAGGUUUUAUCACAUGCACCUGGCAGGCUAGAUGUUGACACACACUGGCAGGCUGCGUUGUGACACGGCAGAAGAAUUGAACGUUUUGAAUUUGACUAGGUUGUCAACGAUCAGAAAAUUUUAUGAUCAGAAGAAUUUUAGCUUUCGUGUAAAACACAACACAUGCUAAAUUGGCGCCCAACGUGGGGCUCCGACCAUACCGCGAACUAGGCACGCUGCAAGAGCUGCCAUGGACGCAGACAAUGAGGCUACGGAGCAGAGUCCUGUACGGGCCCCCGAACUUGUCACAGCGCCUCGUCUGACCGUGCCGGCAUAAUGCAGGCGGAUACGAAUAGGUGCCCAAUAGAGACGCUGCGGUCGUUGCCAAUUGCCGGCGCCUCAUGGCAGUCACCAUCGUCACCGUCGCUGAACAUCACUACGAGUUCGUCCUGGAACUUCGCAAAGUGUACCGCGAGGUUCACCGGUACUUCUCAAGAAAAUGCAGGCGGAUACGAAUAGGUGCCCAAUAGAGACGCUGCGGUCGUUGCCAAACGCCGGCUCCUCAUGGCAGUCACCAUCGUCACCGUCGCUGAACAUCACUACGAGUUCGUCCUGGAACUUCGCAAAGUGUACCGCGAGGUUCACCGGUACUUCUCAAGAAAAUGCAGGCGGAUACGAAUAGGUGCCCAAUAGAGACGCUGCGGUCGUUGCCAAACGCCGGCGCCUCAUGGCAGUCACCAUCGUCACCGUCGCUGAACAUCACUACGAGUUCGUCCUGGAACUUCGCAAAGUGUACCGCGAGAUUCACCGGUACUUCUCAAGAACCGGAGGUACUAGAAACCUUCAUCGACGCGGUCCAGGUAUACAAGGAGUGUGCGGACGUGAGUGACGAUCACGCGCUGCGGGGACUCCCGAUGCUGUUAGAGGGCGACGCCA
Molecule: RNA transcript, 929 nt
Organism: Spodoptera frugiperda (fall armyworm)
Lineage: Eukaryota; Metazoa; Arthropoda; Insecta; Lepidoptera; Noctuidae
Gene name: activity-regulated cytoskeleton associated protein 2-like
Exons: 2
Source: RefSeq, a predicted model, not a curated record